UACAGAGGGUGCGAGCGUUGUUCGGAAUUAUUGGGCGUAAAGAGCUCGUAGGCGGUCUGUCGCGUCGGCUGUGAAAACUCGGGGCUCAACCCCGAGCCUGCAGUCGAUACGGGCAGACUAGAGUGCGGUAGGGGAGACUGGAAUUCCUGGUGUAGCGGUGAAAUGCGCAGAUAUCAGGAGGAACACCGGUGGCGAAGGCGGGUCUCUGGGCCGUAACUGACGCUGAGGAGCGAAAGCGUGGGGAGCAAACAGG
RNAcentral lists this ribosomal RNA (253 nucleotides) under uncultured bacterium. RNAcentral describes it as "partial 16S ribosomal RNA". It matches the Rfam family "Bacterial small subunit ribosomal RNA", at positions 524 to 776 of the family's 1533-position model. The record is from RNAcentral.